CGUCAAAUCAUCAUGCCCCUUAUGACCUGGGCUACACACGUGCUACAAUGGGUGGUACAAAGGGCAGCGAAAUCGCGAGAUUGAGCUAAUCCCAUAAAACCACUCUCAGUUCGGAUUGCAGGCUGCAACCCGCCUGCAUGAAGCUGGAAUCGCUAGUAAUCGCGGAUCAGCAUGCCGCGGUGAAUACGUUCCCGGGCCUU
RNAcentral lists this ribosomal RNA (200 nucleotides) under uncultured organism. RNAcentral describes it as "partial small subunit ribosomal RNA". It matches the Rfam family "Bacterial small subunit ribosomal RNA", at positions 1183 to 1382 of the family's 1533-position model. The record is from RNAcentral.